GACGAACGCUGGCGGCGUGCUUAACACAUGCAAGUCGAACGGUGAAGCGCUUUCCUUUUUGGUUGGUGUGGAUGAGUGGCGAACGGGUGAGUAACACGUGAGUAACCUGCCCCCUUCUUCUGGAUAACCGCAUGAAAGUGUGGCUAAUACGGGAUAUUCUGCGCCUGCUGCAUGGUGGGUGUGGGAAAGAUUGUGCCUUUGGGUGUUUUCGGUGGGGGAUGGGCUCGCGGCCUAUCAGCUUGUUGGUGGGGUGAUGGCCUACCAAGGCGGUGACGGGUAGCCGGGCUGAGAGGGUGGACGGUCACACUGGGACUGAGACACGGCCCAGACUCCUACGGGAGGCAGCAGUGGGGAACAUUGCACAAUGGGCGCAAGCCUGAUGCAGCGACGCCGCGUGAGGGAUGGAGGCCUUCGGGUUGUGAACCUCUUUCGCCAGUGAAGCAGGCCUGCUCCUUGUGGGUGGGUUGACGGUAGCUGGAUAAGAAGCGCCGGCUAACUACGUG
This 503-nucleotide ribosomal RNA is filed under the name uncultured bacterium. RNAcentral's name for it is "partial 16S ribosomal RNA". It matches the Rfam family "Bacterial small subunit ribosomal RNA", at positions 28 to 507 of the family's 1533-position model. The record is from RNAcentral.